ACAAUGCCAAAGAUAGGAUUCACUGACAUUAUCUAACUUAGGAUGUUUAUUGGAUGUGUACAUUACACUAACAAAUCAUGAUAUUAUGUAUAUGUUAUAUUUUAAUUAUCCACACAUAAUUACAGUAUCAUUCAUAAUGAUAUCACAAAAAUCAUCCUUUAUUAUAAACUUGAAAUCAAGUUUAGCCAAAAGGCCUACAGAGAUGACAUUCAUCUAAAAAGAGAGAUAAUAAUGACAAUCAUCUAACAUCACACUAUUGGACUCAAAGACAAGCUGUAAAGUUCUCAAGGCC
This 292-nucleotide long non-coding RNA is filed under the name Elaeis guineensis (African oil palm). RNAcentral describes it as "long non-coding RNA (EGUI_LNC048827)". The record is from RNAcentral. Lineage: Eukaryota; Viridiplantae; Streptophyta; Magnoliopsida; Arecales; Arecaceae.